Aquila chrysaetos chrysaetos is the source of this 4048-nucleotide long non-coding RNA. RefSeq lists it as uncharacterized. The transcript is spliced from 2 exons. The record is from RefSeq and is a predicted model, not a curated record. Lineage: Eukaryota; Metazoa; Chordata; Aves; Accipitriformes; Accipitridae.
AACAGUUGGAGCCACGAGGAAGAAGCUUGGAGAUGGAGGAACCAGCCUACAUCCGUAGGAUUGCAGCUCCGUCUUCUCUGUCCCUUCUGGAUCCUCGGACUACCCCAACUCUCGCUCCCCUCUGGGUGCUCCGGUCACCUGCUGUUUUCAUUCCCACAUCAGGUGGCUGUAGAGGUAAAAAGCUGAGGAUGGAGACAAGCUUUACGCUGUGGCCUAAAGGUCAGCAAACUCAGGCACCGUCAGGAUCAUCAGGGAGAGCGAAUACUGACCAGACCUCGUUUGAGAAAGGCUUUCCACCAGCACCAGCACAGUGGGGAAAAAGGUAGCAGAAAGUGCCCCUUGCUGCAAGCAGAGCAGUGUGUCUCAGGCACACACAGGUACAUGGAGAAAGACCUGCUGGAGGUAGAGACAAACUGUACGCACUCCAGGUUUAUGUCUGGUGGCUCUUGGGAUGUUCAGAUAGAUACGUUAGUUGAGAUCUGAAGUAUAUAAAGGCUUUAUUUUGUUGUGAUAGAACUGCUGCAACCACAGUCAUUUUUGCCGUGCGUUACUUCUCCUCUAACAGGGGACCUUACGUAAACUCUCCAAAGUGGGGAUGUCAGGGCUGUGACAGGAUACUUGGUGAACAACAAAAGGCCCCGAUGUAUACAGAGAGGAAGGCAAAUCCGUAUUCCAUCGUUAAGAGGUAGUGGUCACUUAGAGCCAGGAUUUGCUAGGAAACAUUUCCUUGUCUGCACCUUUCCAGUCAUUAUUUUUUUCUUUCAGUGUCUUAUUUGGUUAAGCUUAUCCACGUACGGGAAUUUGCUGCCCAAAUGUUUCUGUUCCAAGAUGAUGGUGGACAACGGGAAACUUCAAUCGGCUGAAAAUGAGAAAGGAAAUGUCCCCCAAGAUGGCAAAACCAGACCCGUGUGUCCUCCAGGUCUACCUUGCUGUAGUUCCAGCUAGCAGGGCUUUGGCUCACUGUUGAAUAUGCUGUCUGUAUCUUGACUGUUAAGUCUUCCUUUCACAAAAUCCCCUGGUACUGAUCUCAUUACCAAGAUGGAUUUUUGGUGUUUUAGCUGGUGCUGAAAAUGGAAAAUAGCUACUUCAAGGAGGAAGGGCUAGAACCAAGUAUUGAUACUGUUCAGGGUUGCUUGUUUUUAUGUUCUCUCUUUAAAUGUCCUCUGCUGGCCACGACUGCAGACAGGGUGCUGCUGGGAGAAGUAGCCUUCCGACCUCUGCUGGCAUCGCCUUUUGUGAGUCCUUAGCAUGGUUCAAAAAUCGAGCGACAUUAGUUCGUGUUCACAGAUUGUGGUGUCUGGCAUAGGGCUCAGUAUGUGGUAGUUUGAACCUAUGGAGAUUUACUGUAGCAGGGCAUUUAAGCAUUUGCUUUGCUUUCACAGGGUCUGAGGGGACCUAAAGGUUAAAUGAGAUUGACUCUGAUCCAAUUGAUGAUGCCCAUGCUUGCCUUCAGACCUUUGAGCAAAGUCCUGAACACCUUGCUUCACAUGGUUUUGUUAUGGCUCUCAUCUCUCUUUAGUGUUACUAUUUCAAAAGGGGAAGAAUGCAGUACCUUGCCACUGUUUUUUAAAAAAAAAAACACAUUUGCCUGACCUAGAGAUAGGUUUUAGAUGUUAAAUCAGCAUGUGGCUUUGUAACUCAGAUAUUAAACCCUGAGUGUUUAAAUUAUUUUAUUUUACCUAUUUGAGCGAUGCUGUUUUAGAUACUCUAAACAUCUAGACGUGUUUGUAUUUUGUAUACCUUUGAAGAGUGGGAGUUCCAGGUUUGAAAUUUGGGGUUGGGUCUGUUCCUUCAAGAAUACAGCCACUAGGAGACACUAUCACUGCAUCUGUAGUAGUAAACUACCCAGAGGCAGAGCAGGUGUCUGAGCUGGGAGCUCAACCCUCUGCGCGCAGGUCAGCCCCGGAGCAGUUCGGCCACGGCUCUCCCAGUUCACAGGCAUGGUUAGGCACUCAGCAUGGACCGGUGGCCAUUCCCAGUGGGCAGUUUGGAUGUCAUCACCGUAUCGUGGAGAGUUCAAUAAUACUCUUCCAUUUCCACUGGUCUUGGUGCGAGAGAACAGUACCAGAGCAGGUUUAUGAAAAGAACAGAGAAGUUACCCUUACGGAUAUGUGGUACACAGUUAACAGGCAAGUCUGUGUGGGCGUGUGUGCAUGCACCCUGCUACAAAAUAAAUCUAGUGAAGUGGAAGAGUACGCUGAAACAUUAUGUUUGAAAAUACAGAAGUCUGGGUAAUUGCUUAGCAUCGUGAUUUGAUUAGUGAAAUCGUUUUAAGUGCUUCACAAUUUUAUGUACACUUAAUAUAAAUGGUGGUUAUGUAAUAUGAAAUGGCACAGAUGCAGAGCUCCUAUCCUGUUCAGAGUAGCAGCUAUACUGCAUGCAAGCGACGGAGAUCCCUGUCUUGAUAUUUGACUUUAUCAACAUCUCACUUGACAGGAAAAAAAACCCCAACAAAAACCCCAGCUGUUGUCCAUUCUUCCUCUCCAAACUUAAUUGUUCCUACAUUCUUCUUCUAUAGAUACUGUAUCUUCAUCCCAAGUUUCACUGUCUCUAAAGCUACAGUUCCAUGGUCACGAAUACGGUUUGUCUGUACUACCUGAUCACCAAACAAUACGAGUUCAGUCCAGAUCAGGGAGCAUAUGAUUUGAUUUCUCUAAAAUUAGCCACAGCAUAUAGUAUGGAGCUUACACAGGUUUUAUACGAGCUGUAGAAAGAUGAUUAUUAGUCAAUUCUACACAAAGUUAACACAGGAGGCACAAAUAAUAAAUACCUCACCCGGCAUCAAGCCCUGUGGAUACAAGUUAACCUGUUAGCGUUUUUUGAACAAAUUUGAACCUUAAGAAUUAAUUUAUUGUACAGGAUUAGUGUUUUAGUCAUGCGGCUGCGGUGGUUUUGGAUCUUGGAGUAGGAGUCCUAAAGCCAUUUGCUGCGUUGUCAAGACAAAGCCUGAAAGGGAGAUUGCCAACACUUAUUAUGCGCCUAGCCCAGAGACAACAGGACACACCUAGGUGAGUCAGAAAAACUUGCUUUGCGUUUCAUGGUAGGCUUCAGGCACCUACAUAGGAGAGUGGGUUUUCAGGAUCUGCCACAAUAUGUACAACAAGCACACCCACAGAUUUCUUGUCAUCUGAGUUUUUACUCUGUAAUUUACCCACAAAAUUCCUCUAAAUGGAAACUUGAUGAAAUGUGCUGGCACAAAUGUUUUGAUACUUCAGAGGGUGAAAUCCUCCAAGUGCUCUCACUGUUACUUUUAUGCCUGGUUCGAACAGCGCUGACUCAGGAUGGAGAUGUUUUACCCUAUGCUCUUUCUCAGACCUUUUGUGGGACAGAUGGAGUGGAUGUAGCCUAUUAAUUAGACAUAUCAGCUGUGGCUCUGACCUCAUUUCACUGUUGUCAGUUGCAAAUCUCUCAUCGAUUUCAAUAAAAUAGAAUUAGGCUUGCUCUACAGAAGAUAACUCAAGUUCCUUAAAACUGAUCUGAUGACAUGAUAGUUGUCAUGGCCCCAACCUUCAGUUUGCCCUUGAGCUACACUUUCAAAAAGAAGUUGUCACCUAGACAUUAACUCCAUUUUUCUACAUAUCCAGAUCCUUAUAUUGAUGCAGAAGGAUUGAAAUACUUCUUAUAAAGUCUACAGGGACUUAUUUAUUCUGAACUUUUUGGAAAAAGCAGGUUAUAGUAUUGGAUUAGAUAUACAAAGGCUAAAGGGAGAUAGUGCUUCUUUAAAAAAUAGCUAAAGUUUUCAAAAGUCUUGCCUUACCAUAGCUUUCUGUGAGAUAAACACGCAUGUACACUCUCCUCCAUGAACACACGUGCAGAUGUAGAUGUACAAAUGCACUAAGAACUCAGCAUACAGAGCAGUAUUGUAUUUCUAUACUAGCAAAUUACUGCCUUUAAUUUUUCUUCUUUGUCUUCCUGUUUUCCCCUUGAUCUACAGGCUAUCCCAACCAAGAUUGCUAAUAACUGUAAAAUUGUGAGCAGUAUUUAAAGGGUCACAGAUUUUCAGUUUAAAAAGGCUGUCAUUAAAACUCCGUCCUGUUUCACCUGCGUA